RNAcentral lists this ribosomal RNA (479 nucleotides) under uncultured bacterium. RNAcentral's name for it is "partial 16S ribosomal RNA". It matches the Rfam family "Bacterial small subunit ribosomal RNA", at positions 28 to 507 of the family's 1533-position model. The record is from RNAcentral.
GAUGAACGCUAGCGGGAGGCCUAACACAUGCAAGCCGAGCGGUAUUUGUUCUUCGGAACAGAGAGAGCGGCGCACGGGUGCGGAACACGUGUGCAACCUGCCUUUAUCUGGGGGAUAGCCUUUCGAAAGGAAGAUUAAUACCCCAUAAUAUAUUGAGUGGCAUCAUUUGAUAUUGAAAACUCCGGUGGAUAGAGAUGGGCACGCGCAAGAUUAGAUAGUUGGUGAGGUAACGGCUCACCAAGUCAAUGAUCUUUAGGGGGCCUGAGAGGGUGAUCCCCCACACUGGUACUGAGACACGGACCAGACUCCUACGGGAGGCAGCAGUGAGGAAUAUUGGACAAGGGGUUAGCGCCUGAUCCAGCCAUCCCGCGUGAAGGACGACGGCCCUAUGGGUUGUAAACUUCUUUUGUAUAGGGAUAAACCUACUCUCGGGAGAGUAGCUGAAGGUACUAGAAGAAUAAGCACCGGCUAACUCCGUG